AGUGAACGCUGGCGGUAGGCCUAACACAUGCAAGUCGAACGGCAGCACAGUAAGAGCUUGCUCUUACGGGUGGCGAGUGGCGGACGGGUGAGGAAUACAUCGGAAUCUACUUUUUCGUGGGGGAUAACGUAGGGAAACUUACGCUAAUACCGCAUACGACCUACGGGUGAAAGCAGGGGAUCUUCGGACCUUGCGCGAUUGAAUGAGCCGAUGUCGGAUUAGCUAGUUGGCGGGGUAAAGGCCCACCAAGGCGACGAUCCGUAGCUGGUCUGAGAGGAUGAUCAGCCACACUGGAACUGAGACACGGUCCAGACUCCUACGGGAGGCAGCAGUGGGGAAUAUUGGACAAUGGGCGCAAGCCUGAUCCAGCCAUACCGCGUGGGUGAAGAAGGCCUUCGGGUUGUAAAGCCCUUUUGUUUGGAAAGAUAAGCAGCAGGUUAAUACCCCGCUGUUCUGACGGUACCCAAAGAAUAAGCACCGGCUAACUUCGUG
RNAcentral lists this ribosomal RNA (492 nucleotides) under uncultured bacterium. Its description in RNAcentral is "partial 16S ribosomal RNA". It matches the Rfam family "Bacterial small subunit ribosomal RNA", at positions 29 to 507 of the family's 1533-position model. The record is from RNAcentral.